Molecule: ribosomal RNA, 423 nt
Filed under: uncultured bacterium
Lineage: Bacteria
Description: partial 16S ribosomal RNA
Rfam family: Bacterial small subunit ribosomal RNA
Source: RNAcentral
UAGGGAAUCUUCCACAAUGGACGCAAGUCUGAUGGAGCAACGCCGCGUGAGUGAAGAAGGCUUUCGGGUCGUAAAACUCUGUUAUUGAAGAAGAACGUGUGUGACAGUAACUGGUCAUGCAGUGACGGUAUUCAAUCAGAAAGUCACGGCUAACUACGUGCCAGCAGCCGCGGUAAUACGUAGGUGGCAAGCGUUGUCCGGAUUUAUUGGGCGUAAAGCGAGUGCAGGCGGUCUUUUAAGUCUGAUGUGAAAGCCUUCGGCUUAACCGAAGAAGGGCAUCGGAAACUGGGAGACUUGAGUGCAGAAGAGGAGAGUGGAACUCCAUGUGUAGCGGUGAAAUGCGUAGAUAUAUGGAAGAACACCAGUGGCGAAGGCGGCUCUCUGGUCUGUAACUGACGCUGAGGCUCGAAAGCGUGGGUAGCA